Molecule: transfer RNA, 76 nt
Filed under: Candidatus Moraniibacteriota bacterium
Lineage: Bacteria; Candidatus Moraniibacteriota
Description: Candidatus Moranbacteria bacterium (sediment metagenome) tRNA-Lys
Rfam family: tRNA
About the family: Transfer RNA (tRNA) molecules are approximately 80 nucleotides in length. Their secondary structure includes four short double-helical elements and three loops (D, anti-codon, and T loops). Further hydrogen bonds mediate the characteristic L-shaped molecular structure. tRNAs have two regions of fundamental functional importance: the anti-codon, which is responsible for specific mRNA codon recognition, and the 3' end, to which the tRNAs corresponding amino acid is attached (by aminoacyl-tRNA synthetases). tRNAs cope with the degeneracy of the genetic code in two manners: having more than one tRNA (with a specific anti-codon) for a particular amino acid; and 'wobble' base-pairing, i.e. permitting non-standard base-pairing at the 3rd anti-codon position.
Source: RNAcentral
GCGCGCAUAGCUCAGCUGGUAGAGCAAUGGACUCUUAAUCCACAGGUCGGGGGUUCGAAUCCCUCUGCGCGCACUA